This is a long non-coding RNA of Xenopus laevis (African clawed frog), 263 nucleotides long. RefSeq lists it as uncharacterized. The record is from RefSeq and is a predicted model, not a curated record. The transcript has 3 exons. NCBI's taxonomy places the organism in Eukaryota, Metazoa, Chordata, Amphibia, Anura, Pipidae.
AUUAUUUAUAAAGUGCCACCAUAUUCUGCAGCAUGGUACAGCAAUGAGACAAACAUCGCAUAUAUGGACAGUUCGGUAUCACAGCACAGGGCUGUUGUUCCUACAUGGCAGAAGAGGUGGAAGUGCACACCAGGAAUCAAUAAGGUGGCCUGCCGAAAGCAUGAGCGAGUGCUACGCAAGGCUUCCAGAAUAAAAUGAACACUUUUUCAUGGCUCCAUUCCUCAUGUAAGCAUUUCUUGUACAAUUGCUGGUAUAUGACAGUG